Triticum dicoccoides is the source of this 1675-nucleotide long non-coding RNA. RefSeq lists it as uncharacterized. Lineage: Eukaryota; Viridiplantae; Streptophyta; Magnoliopsida; Poales; Poaceae. The transcript has 6 exons. The record is from RefSeq and is a predicted model, not a curated record.
CUCGCCUCGUCCAACUCCCACUCCCAUUCUAGCCGCCAGACGAACCUUGGCCCCUAGCCCCUUGCCCAAUGCCCCUCGAUCCCCACAGCCGCCGCACGGCCUCGCUCCUCCUUCCCUCCGGCCGCACCCUCUCCUUGCUCGCAGCUGCCUCCUUCCCACCUCCACCCGAGCUCUGCCUUCCUCGCCCGCCUCCUCCUCCUUGCCAUCGGCGGAAGCCUCAAGCCCCGGCAUCACUGCCACCAGAUCCACCUCGCAACCUCUCUUCCUCCCCUGUCUGACUGCUGCGUGGUCGUGUCAGGCCCAUGCCGGGGCCGCCGCCACCGCUGCAGCCGCCGCCGCUGGAUGGCUCCGUCGGUCCCUCCUGCUCCAGAUCGAAAACUGAGAGAGCGACGGGAGGGAAGAAGGGGAUCGGGGGAGGGUAGAGCACGGAAGAGAAGGCGAGCUCGCGGCUGACCGCAUCAUGCGAGGCGGACGGGUGAGAAACAUUUGUGGUCGUGCCGUUGGCGACUGGAGAUUUGGAAUGCGGCUAUGGCCAUGGGCGGUCCUGGGGCGGGAUCGCGUGUGUGCUGCCUCCAACCUGCUUUGCUAUUCCUGCGAUCUCAAGGUAUGGUAUCGAUCUGCUUUGCGCGUUGCUUUAGGAAAACUGAUUAGUUAUCUAUACAUAGACGUGUGCAGAUCUGAGGACGAAGGGAAGAAUAAGAAGAAUUUAGCUAGAGAUUUGAAGAAGAUCAAGAAGGCCAAAAAAGGUGGAGACGAGUCAUGGAUCCUGCUGGCAAUGGCUACUGGUUGUAGAUGGAAUUUAAGCAGAGGAAUAGCAAAAGUUGUGCCCCAUGAGGCCAGCGACCAAAGGCCCGAUUCGUUACCGUUGAAGGUUAUGUUCAGCUUGGCCCUUCAUCUGGGUGUAUGGUUAUCCUCAUCUCUAUACGCGCAUGCAUGGACGAGCUUCAUUCUGAUGAGGAGAAAACAAUCAUGUUGAGUUUUAAUCAGAACAGGUGGACAACCAUGUAAAAGGUUGGAAGAACUGUUCUAUUUUUGCAUCUGCAACCAGCUGCUGCUGCUGAAGAUUUGCUCUCCUUUUCCAAUGCAUGUAGUACAGGAUGAAGUGGCAGGCUGGAAGAAGUCCAAAGCCAGUUUCCGUCGGAUGAGAAUUCAUAGCAAGAUGGAGUCGAUUCAAGCACCACAUGCUGGAAAUACUGCACCAUAGUGACAUAAAGGGCAUCGCAUUCAGGAAACCUAAUGAUUCCAUAUACACCUUCCCAAUGCCUGAUUGCAUAUGCCAACAAGAUGGAAUAUGCUCUAGGCGUUAGCAUACAUAACUGAAGGAUGCAUAUCCUCUGCCUUUGUGCAACAAAGGCACCAAAGGCAUGGCAUUGUUGACUGCAUGAUCAGGAUUUGAUGGUCAUGAUGAAAACUGGAGUGAAAUAAAGCAUUUGGCGCUUCUCAGGAGAUUCUGAAACCCUCUAGCAUACCCCAAACCGUUCGAUUCUGGAUAUAAUGGUCAAAAGGUGCCUAAUGACAAUGAAUUCCAUAGGAUCAGAAAUUGAGAGGAUGCGAGGGAUUUUGUAAAGUUAGUAAUCUGUAGGUAGUCCACCAUAUAGCAAUCUCCAUUUGUUCAAUGGGUUGUAGAUAUGAGUACAACCUGAGUGCCUCGAUGUAUAUUUGAAAAUAACAAAGA